GACGAACGCUGGCGGCGUGCUUAACACAUGCAAGUCGAACGGAAAGGCCCUGCUUUUGUGGGGUGCUCGAGUGGCGAACGGGUGAGUAACACGUGAGUAACCUGCCCUUGACUUUGGGAUAACUUCAGGAAACUGGGGCUAAUACCGGAUAGGAGCUCCUGCUGCAUGGUGGGGGUUGGAAAGUUUCGGCGAUUGGGGAUGGAGUCGCCGCUUAUCAGCUUGUUGGUGGGGUAGUGGCUUACCAAGGCUUUGACGGGUAGCCGGCCUGAGAGGGUGACCGGCCACAUUGGGACUGAGAUACGGCCCAGACUCCUACGGGAGGCAGCAGUGGGGAAUAUUGCACAAUGGGCGGAAGCCUGAUGCAGCAACGCCGCGUGCGGGAUGACGGCCUUCGGGUUGUAAACCGCUUUCGCCUGUGACGAAGCGUGAGUGACGGUAAUGGGUAAAGAAGCACCGGCUAACUACGUG
Molecule: ribosomal RNA, 468 nt
Filed under: uncultured bacterium
Lineage: Bacteria
Description: partial 16S ribosomal RNA
Rfam family: Bacterial small subunit ribosomal RNA
Source: RNAcentral